CGGGAGAGAGCGAUCCGGAAAUCAAGGCUUGUAAGGAGACUGAAAGAGUUGGAGGUCGCCAGAGAACAGUUAUGUAAAGAUAGAGAGCUGAGUCGGGAACUGAAUUUGUCAGAGUGAGAUGCACUAAAAUCACCCCAGGAAAUGACAGCAGGAAAGAGUGUUGGGCUGAAAGGAAAACAAAUGCAGGCGCCAUAUGCAUUUUUACACUGGUGAACCUAUUGUCUGAUUAGCACCCAAUUUUACUUUUAAAAAAAGUGCAAAAUGCAUGUGAUUUGAAAGCCAGAUCAGCUCACAUUUGCUAAAACUUUUUGGUAACACUUUAUAAUAACAAAGGAAAACAAAUGCAGGCGCCAUAUGCAUUUUUACACUGGUGAACCUAUUGUCUGAUUAGCACCCAAUUUUACUUUUAAAAAAAGUGCAAAAUGCAUGUGAUUUGAAAGCCAG
RNAcentral lists this long non-coding RNA (444 nucleotides) under Sinocyclocheilus grahami. Its description in RNAcentral is "lncRNA (ENSSGRG00000028802.1)". Lineage: Eukaryota; Metazoa; Chordata; Actinopteri; Cypriniformes; Cyprinidae. The record is from RNAcentral.